UCUGGUGACUGAGGACCGCCAGGCAGGGGCUGGUGCUGGGCGGGGGGCGGCGGG
RNAcentral lists this microRNA precursor (54 nucleotides) under Pan troglodytes (chimpanzee). Its description in RNAcentral is "miRNA (ENSPTRG00000040811.2)". Lineage: Eukaryota; Metazoa; Chordata; Mammalia; Primates; Hominidae. The record is from RNAcentral.